CCCAAUGUGGUAUAAUGGUUUGAGCUCUGGACUACAAUUCUAGAGACCAGGGUUCAAAUCCCUACUCAGCCA
This is a non-coding RNA of Phrynosoma platyrhinos (Desert horned lizard), 72 nucleotides long. Lineage: Eukaryota; Metazoa; Chordata; Lepidosauria; Squamata; Phrynosomatidae. The record is from the annotation of a GenBank genome assembly.